AUUGAACGCUGGCGGCAGGCUUAACACAUGCAAGUCGAGCGGGGUGAAGUGCUUCGGUACUGAUCCUAGCGGCGGACGGGUGAGUAAUGCUUAGGAAUCUGCCAUUUAGUGGGGGACAACAUUCCGAAAGGAAUGCUAAUACCGCAUACGUCCUACGGGAGAAAGCAGGGGAUCUUCGGACCUUGCGCUAAAUGAUGAGCCUAAGUCGGAUUAGCUAGUUGGUGGGGUAAAGGCCUACCAAGGCGACGAUCUGUAGCGGGUCUGAGAGGAUGAUCAGCAAAGCUGGGACUGAGACACGGCCACGACUCCUACGGGAGGCAGCAGUGGGGAAUAUUGGACAAUGGGCGGAAGCCUGAUCCAGCCAUGCCGCGUGUGUGAAGAAGGCCUUUUGGUUGUAAAGCACUUUAAGCGAGGAGGAGGCUACCUGGAUUAAUACUCUGGGAUAGUGGACGUUACUCGCAGAAUAAGCACCGGCUAACUCUGUGCCAGCAGCCGCCGUAA
RNAcentral lists this ribosomal RNA (501 nucleotides) under uncultured bacterium. RNAcentral describes it as "partial 16S ribosomal RNA". It matches the Rfam family "Bacterial small subunit ribosomal RNA", at positions 30 to 523 of the family's 1533-position model. The record is from RNAcentral.